CUUUCCGAUCGGGUUUAAAUAGAGCAGGGGAGAACAAAUUUUACAGAACAAACCAAAGAAGAAUGAUGGUUACCUGUAAGGGAGUGAAUACCUUGUCACCAGCAGAAUCCCAGGAUGAAGAUGACGACGAAGACCAAGAUCUGGGAGGGGGCUCUCAAGUAAUUCUUCAUCGAAUCCAUGAUCUACCAGACCAUAAUGCCAUUGGAGAUGUUGGUCGAUGUUGGGAGAUGUAGCUGAGGCUUGACUUGGCCGAGUUUUCUUCCUUUUGAGGUUUCUAGAGGAAUGAAGAGGAGGAAGAAGACUGAGCCAAAGAAGCUUGACCAUUUGCUUGCAGCUGCUCCUCCACUGAGUCCUCAGCCCGAGCCACUGGAUUGGUGGGACGACUUCCAACAGAGAUUUACUGGGCCUUUAUCUGGAUCAGAAUCCAGAAAUGCAGUGAAAUUUGAAUCUGUCUUCAAAAUUUCAAGGACAUUCAAAUGCAAGACCUGGAGUCUGUUUUCAUUUGUCAUCUUCAAUAGUUCCAGCUUUUGGGGAACCUUGGUCUUUUUCGCUUCCAUGACUUGCAACUCGAAACUAGUUACAGAAACCUGUCUAUAUAUUGAUUUUUUUGUCUUUUACCACGAUGGCAAUAAGAUUUAAAUUCAUGACUUUAA
Long non-coding RNA from Rosa rugosa (rugosa rose), 653 nucleotides. RefSeq lists it as uncharacterized. The record is from RefSeq and is a predicted model, not a curated record. Lineage: Eukaryota; Viridiplantae; Streptophyta; Magnoliopsida; Rosales; Rosaceae. The transcript is spliced from 2 exons.